RNAcentral lists this non-coding RNA (28 nucleotides) under Rattus norvegicus (Norway rat). Lineage: Eukaryota; Metazoa; Chordata; Mammalia; Rodentia; Muridae. The record is from RNAcentral.
UGUUUGCUUUGGUGGGAGAAUUGGGCUC